CUCCACCUUCUGAGACAAUAGAUCACAUGACCUCUCUGGACUUCCGUUCUCUCAACUAACUAAAUAAUUCAUGGGAUAAUCCCAAAUCCUUUCUAGUCUUUUUAUUUUUAAAGUUGAAAGGAUUUUCUUUAAAGACCAUAGUAGAGAAGCAAAAAGAGUGGGCCAAGAAUGUCUGAAGGUGCAUGAAGGUAGGAAGAUGCAAGAAGAGCACCGAGCAGCAUGACCUCCUAAGGAGACAGUGGCCUAAUGCAAGAUUGCACCUAUAGGGAAAGAAGAGGAAUACGAAGAAACAAGAUCAAGGGACACACCUCUUCAUCAGGGUGUCCAUCGAGGUCUGGUUAGGAAAUAGAGCCCAGGAGAAAACUCAUAGCAAUCACCAGGAAGAUGACCAUGUGUGGCAGAGGCAGAGACUGGGACUCAGCUGCAAACCAAGGAACGUGAAGAAUGUUAUCAGAUGGCCACCAUCAGGCUAGGAAAAGGCAAGAAAGGAUUCUACCCAGAGUCUCAGAGGACUAUGCUCUACUGACACCUUGAUUUUGGAAUUCUUGCCUCCAACUGUGG
Molecule: long non-coding RNA, 561 nt
Filed under: Heterocephalus glaber (naked mole-rat)
Lineage: Eukaryota; Metazoa; Chordata; Mammalia; Rodentia; Bathyergidae
Description: lncRNA (ENSHGLG00100041520.1)
Source: RNAcentral